Molecule: ribosomal RNA, 254 nt
Filed under: uncultured prokaryote
Description: partial 16S ribosomal RNA
Rfam family: Bacterial small subunit ribosomal RNA
Source: RNAcentral
GACAGAGGGUGCAAGCGUUGUUCGGAAUUACUGGGCGUAAAGGGCGCGUAGGCGGCCACCGCAAGUCGGUUGUGAAAUCUCCGGGCUUAACCCGGAAAGGUCAAUCGAUACUGCGGGGCUAGAGUGCAGAAGGGGCAACUGGAAUUCUCGGUGUAGCGGUGAAAUGCGUAGAUAUCGAGAGGAACACCUGCGGCGAAGGCGGGUUGCUGGGCUGACACUGACGCUGAUGCGCGAAAGCCAGGGGAGCGAACGGG